Molecule: long non-coding RNA, 720 nt
Organism: Aethalodelphis obliquidens (Pacific white-sided dolphin)
Lineage: Eukaryota; Metazoa; Chordata; Mammalia; Artiodactyla; Delphinidae
Exons: 2
Source: RefSeq, a predicted model, not a curated record
GAAGGGGAGGAGUAGAAUGUAUCUUUGAACAUACCCAGUGUUAGGUUUCUUUUUUAAGCACAUACAGAUGUUUGGGGCUGUACGUGCUGUCACGACCAUAGAGAACCUCACAGCAAACGCAGGGAAAAGAUCGAAAAAGAACAUUUUUUGUGGAUUAAUUGCUUCCGGUUGCAGAAGCCCAGUGAGUUGUAUGUAUCAAAUGGCUGCCCACGGCUCUUCCCAUGCCAAGUCUAGCCUACAGACACACCCAGAAAGGAUUUUCUUUUCCGCACGUACACAGCUCGAGUUGGAAAAAGUGAGAAGUGCUCUGUCAGGAAGCUGGCUGCGGAUUCAGCUGAGAGAGAGAGAGGUCCCUCGUCCAGGGGCCUUUCCCUUGCCACACACUUAUUUUUUGUGGUUGGCUUAAGACAGCAGCCCAAGAGCCAGUAUUCGAUAGGACAUCUCCCACCCCUUCCAGAAGAAGUCGCCGCAAGAAGGCACUGAGCGGGGAGCACGCUGGACUGGAGGCCACCCCGACCCCACUCUAGCAAGAGGUCCGUGUUCUUCCUAACUUUCCUUAGUGACUUCUGAGGAUGGAGUGCCUCUUAUGAACUUCUAAGCUGACCCCAGAUUCUCCUCUGUUGGCUUAUGAUACCUUGGUCCAGGGAUUGGCAAACUGUGGCCAGUGGGUCGAAUCCAGCCCGACGCCUGCUUUUGUAAAUAAAGUUUUACUGGAACACA